CACCAAAGGCAGCAGCAAUUGCAGCUGCAUUGGUCAUCUAAUCAAAAGAUGAACAAAUAAAUCAAACAGUAUCAGAAUUUAAAAAGUGUAUAUUUAAGACAAUUUUAGAAACUAAGGAAGCUUUGAACAAUUAUCUGCAUGAGGGCCAAUCACAAACAAUCCAACUAUUUUACAUGAAAAUUCUAAGCAGUAUUCGUGUAAUCGAUAAUGUAUAACAUAAAAACAAGAUUCCACUAAAAAUGGAGAAGUCUGAGGCAUCAUUUCAAGCCUUGCCAUUUCCUUUCUUUCAUAUUCCAUGUUGAGAAACAAAGAAGGCUGAAGAUGGACAACAACAAAACAACUUGUAUUUGGCAAAAUGUUUCUAUUUAAAAUUUUGGAAUAUGGUCCACAAAUCUUGGGGAAAUAUGUUUCCACUUACUCCAGGAAUCACUCCAAAAAAUAUAGGGAGAAAUGCAACAAGGAAAAUGGAUGUGUAUGUGUAUAAUUUCCACCGACCUAUGUCAGUAUACAAAUGAGUCUUGAUUCCAUGUCCUAAUCUAAAUAAUAACAUAACAGAAUAGUUGAAAGCAGUUAUAAAAUCAUUGUAAAUGCAUACACAUGUUAAUACUCAACAGAAAUGGAGACAAAGAAAAGGCAAGAAAGUGAUAAUGGCCAGCACACAUAUUGUUUAUGAUAACUUGUACCAUGACCGCAGCAAUACCCACCUGUGGAUAUGCAACUGCAACAAAGAAAAACAAAGAAGAGAGUCAGUUAAUGUUCAAGCAAGAUAUUAAAAGAACAAGAUAAUAGCAGCAGAUCACUGUAUAGCUCCCAAUUUCAACACCUGCCCCAGCCUCAGGAGCUUGAAGGGCAUUCAUAUUUCGUA
RNAcentral lists this unclassified non-coding RNA (865 nucleotides) under Hevea brasiliensis (rubber tree). Lineage: Eukaryota; Viridiplantae; Streptophyta; Magnoliopsida; Malpighiales; Euphorbiaceae. The record is from RNAcentral.